This 867-nucleotide ribosomal RNA is filed under the name uncultured archaeon. RNAcentral's name for it is "bacterial SSU rRNA". It matches the Rfam family "Archaeal small subunit ribosomal RNA", at positions 1 to 878 of the family's 1478-position model. The record is from RNAcentral.
UUCCAGUUGAUCCUGCCGGACCCGACUGCUAUCAGAGUGAGAUUAAGCCAUGCGAGUUAACGUAGCAAUACGUGGCGCACGGCUCAGUAACACGUAGUCAACAUGCCCAGAGGACGUGGAUAACCUCGGGAAACUGAGUCUAAACCGCGAUAAGUGAGGAUUUCUGGAAUGGUUCCUGACUAAAAUCUAUAUGGCCUCUGGAUUGGACUGCGGCCGAUCAGGCUGUUGGUGAGGUAAUGGCCCACCAAACCUGUAACCGGUACGGGCUCUGAGAGGAGGAGCCCGGAGAUGGGCACUGAGACAAGGGCCCAGGCCCUAUGGGGCGCAGCAGACGCGAAACCUCUGCAAUAGGCGAAAGCCUGACAGGGUUACUCUGAGUGACUUUCGCUAAGAAAGUCUUUUGGUACCUCUAAAAAGGGUGCAGAAUAAGGGGUGGGCAAGUCUGGUGUCAGCCGCCGCGGUAAUACCAGCACCCCGAGUGGUCGGGACGAUUAUUGGGCCUAAAGCAUCCGUAGCCGGUUCUGCAAGUCCCCCGUUAAAUCCAGCUGCUCAACAGAUGGGCCGCGGAGGAUACUACAGAGCUAGGAGGCAGGAGAGGCAAGCGGUACUCAGUGGGUAGGGGUAAAAUCCGUUGAUCCAUUGAAGACCACCAGUGGCGAAGGCGGCUUGCCAGAAUGCGCUCGACGGUGAGGGAUGAAAGCUGGGGGAGCAAACCGGAUUAGAUACCCGGGUAGUCCCAGCCGUAAACGAUGCAGACUCGGUGAUGGGUUGGCUUCGCGCUAACCCAGUGCCGCAGGGAAGCCGUUAAGUCUGCCGCCUGGGUAGUACGGUCGCAAGACUGAAACUUAAAGGAAUUGGCGGGGAGCA